UACGUAGGGAGCAAGCGUUGUCCGGAAUCAUUGGCGUAAAGCGCGCGUAGGUGGCCCCGUAAGUCCGCUGUGAAAGUCAAAGGCUCAACCUUUGAAAGCCGGUGGAUACUGUGGGACUAGAGUACGGAAGAGGCGAGUGGAAUUCCUGGUGUAGCGGUGGAAUGCGCAGAUAUCAGGAGGAACACCAAUAGCGGAAGGCAGCUCGCUGGGACGUUACUGACACUGAGGCGCGAAAGCGUGGGGAGCGAACAGG
This 253-nucleotide ribosomal RNA is filed under the name uncultured bacterium. RNAcentral describes it as "partial 16S ribosomal RNA". It matches the Rfam family "Bacterial small subunit ribosomal RNA", at positions 524 to 776 of the family's 1533-position model. The record is from RNAcentral.